This 405-nucleotide ribosomal RNA is filed under the name uncultured Pediococcus sp. Its description in RNAcentral is "bacterial SSU rRNA". It matches the Rfam family "Bacterial small subunit ribosomal RNA", at positions 976 to 1382 of the family's 1533-position model. The record is from RNAcentral. Lineage: Bacteria; Bacillati; Bacillota; Bacilli; Lactobacillales; Lactobacillaceae.
AGGUCUUGACAUCUUCUGCCAACCUAAGAGAUUAGGCGUUCCCUUCGGGGACAGAAUGACAGGUGGUGCAUGGUUGUCGUCAGCUCGUGUCGUGAGAUGUUGGGUUAAGUCCCGCAACGAGCGCAACCCUUAUUACUAGUUGCCAGCAUUCAGUUGGGCACUCUAGUGAGACUGCCGGUGACAAACCGGAGGAAGGUGGGGACGACGUCAAAUCAUCAUGCCCCUUAUGACCUGGGCUACACACGUGCUACAAUGGAUGGUACAACGAGUUGCGAAACCGCGAGGUUUAGCUAAUCUCUUAAAACCAUUCUCAGUUCGGACUGUAGGCUGCAACUCGCCUACACGAAGUCGGAAUCGCUAGUAAUCGCGGAUCAGCAUGCCGCGGUGAAUACGUUCCCGGGCCUU